RNAcentral lists this unclassified non-coding RNA (1060 nucleotides) under Hevea brasiliensis (rubber tree). Lineage: Eukaryota; Viridiplantae; Streptophyta; Magnoliopsida; Malpighiales; Euphorbiaceae. The record is from RNAcentral.
AGGAUUCAACGAGUGAUUGGACAGUGAGGGAAGAUACAAGAAUAUGGACCUUCAUAUUGAAUUGGUUAAUCAAAUAGCACAUUAUUUUCAUAAAUAAUCAAGUCAAAUAAGUUAAAGCAACAUUGAUGAUUGAACAAGAAACUUAUACUUCUUAUUAUUAUCAAGUAUCAGUAGCAAGUCAAGACCAAAAAGACACUUUAAAUGUAGCCAGUUCACCAUAAUAUUGUAAUCACAAACGUAUCAUUGACCCAUGUUCUGAUAUCAUACAUGAGUCCCAAGGUGCAUUUUGCAUUUAGCAUCCACCAAAUCACAUUGCAUUUGAAGCCAAAAAAAAAUGAAGUAAAAUAUGAAGUAAAAUUCAUAAAAUAUUUCAAAGUGGGUUUUUCACCAUCAUUUGCCUUGAGACCUUGACAAUCUCACUUAUCAUAGGCUAUCCUCACUUAGCGUAAUGAAUUUGAUUAGAAAAUCAAGCCCAAAACGAUAAUGCUUCCGUUUAAGGGCCACAAUUGGAAGCAGCGUUACACAAAACCAAUGUCCAGGAACAGCCAUUGUUGUCCAUAGCAAUCACAGUGAUGAAUCCACAAAACCAUAAUGCUCCAUUUAAGGGCCACAAUUGCAUGAGGAACUAAAUGAAACUUAAAAUUCAAUAAUUAGUUGAACUCAUUGCUGCUUAAGAUAACUAGAAUUCAAUGCAGCUAUGUCAUUCUUUAGCAUAAAAUUAUAUUUAAGGAUACUUUCAUCUUCAAGAAAAAAGAUCAGCAAUCCAUGCGCUUACCAAUCUUAUAAGUUUAGCAAUGAGCCAACGAGAAGGUCCUUAUCCAAACUCCCCUCAGCAUCUCUCUCCAAACCCAACUUUUCCUCUAGAAUCACAUCGAUGACUGAGCACCAGGAAUCAUCUCGGGUUGGCUCCGUAAAGAACAAGAAGCACCACCAUGACGUAAAAAACCACGCAAACAAUAAAAGCAAUCCAAUUAUGCAUGCUAUGUUAUUAUAAUCUAAACCUGAGAAAUGCUCUCUCUCUCUGUUUCGGUGACAGGAAAGACUCGACAACAGAAGCAAC